AUGUAUAGUAAGGCGUUUUUAGCCGAAAAAAAACGACCAUGUAUAGCGUUUUUAGCGGAAAGAAACGACCAUGUAUAGUAA
Molecule: long non-coding RNA, 81 nt
Organism: Hippocampus zosterae (dwarf seahorse)
Lineage: Eukaryota; Metazoa; Chordata; Actinopteri; Syngnathiformes; Syngnathidae
Exons: 2
Source: RefSeq, a predicted model, not a curated record